Molecule: ribosomal RNA, 251 nt
Filed under: uncultured prokaryote
Description: partial 16S rRNA
Rfam family: Bacterial small subunit ribosomal RNA
Source: RNAcentral
ACGUAGGGGGCGAGCGUUGUUCGGAAUUACCGGGCGUAAAGGGCAUGUAGGCGGUUUUGUAAGCUUGACGUGAAAGACCACGGCUCAACCGUGGGGGUGCGUUGGGAACUGCGAGGCUUGAGUUACGGAGAGGGAGCGAGAAUUCCUGGUGUAGGGGUGGAAUCUGUAGAGAUCAGGAGGAAUACCAAUGGCGAAGGCAAUCUCCUGGACCAUGACUGACGCUGAGGUGCGAAAGUGUGGGGAUCAAACAG